Molecule: non-coding RNA, 74 nt
Organism: Nippostrongylus brasiliensis
Lineage: Eukaryota; Metazoa; Nematoda; Chromadorea; Rhabditida; Heligmosomidae
Source: Rfam
GACAUCGGACGGGAAUUGAACCCGCGUCUUUCUGUUNAACAGAAAGACGCGGGUUCAAUUCCCGUCCGAUGUCA